AUCCUGGCGUAGCAAGUCGUACACGCUAUGAAAGAAACCUAGAAUGGACACAUCAAUUGCAUGAUAUAUCGAUUCGUAAAGGGAAUUCCGAGAACGAGAUUACGCACUUGUAACAGCACUGAACACAACGCUCGUCGUAUUGCAACAAGACCAAGGAAUCGCAUCUGUACCACGAUAAUCGGAAGGUCCGUCUAUUCCGCAACAAUGUUGAUUUCUCAUCCGUGAUUGCGAGGGCAAAGAUCUCGUCGUGUUGCGCGGACGGUAAGGUCUCUACUUGUUCGUGUCGUACCAAGGCCCAAAUUCCGACACUGGUUUCAAUCAGAGCGAUAAUCGAC
This is a long non-coding RNA of Cataglyphis hispanica, 335 nucleotides long. RefSeq lists it as uncharacterized. The record is from RefSeq and is a predicted model, not a curated record. The transcript is spliced from 3 exons. NCBI's taxonomy places the organism in Eukaryota, Metazoa, Arthropoda, Insecta, Hymenoptera, Formicidae.